RNAcentral lists this ribosomal RNA (254 nucleotides) under uncultured bacterium. RNAcentral's name for it is "partial 16S ribosomal RNA". It matches the Rfam family "Bacterial small subunit ribosomal RNA", at positions 526 to 779 of the family's 1533-position model. The record is from RNAcentral.
CGAAGGGUGCAAGCGUUACUCGGAAUUACUGGGCGUAAAGCGUGCGUAGGUGGUCGUUUAAGUCCGUUGUGAAAGCCCUGGGCUCAACCUGGGAACUGCAGUGGAUACUGGGCGACUAGAAUGUGGUAGAGGGUAGCGGAAUUCCUGGUGUAGCAGUGAAAUGCGUAGAGAUCAGGAGGAACAUCCAUGGCGAAGGCAGCUACCUGGACCAACAUUGACACUGAGGCACGAAAGCGUGGGGAGCAAACAGGAUU